RNAcentral lists this ribosomal RNA (341 nucleotides) under uncultured bacterium. RNAcentral describes it as "bacterial SSU rRNA". It matches the Rfam family "Bacterial small subunit ribosomal RNA", at positions 29 to 366 of the family's 1533-position model. The record is from RNAcentral.
AGCGAACGCUGGCGGCGUGGUUAAGGCAUGCAAGUCGAGCGAUCCCGCAAGGGAUAGCGGCAAACGGGUGAGUAACGCGUAGGUAACCUACCCUGAAGUGUGGGAUAGUCCGGCGAAAGUCGGGGUAAUACCACAUGCACUUGCGGACUGCAUGGUUCGCAAGGAAAGAUGGCCUCGACCGAAAGGUUGCUAUCACUUUAGGAGGGACCUGCGUCCCAUCAGCUAGUUGGAGGGUACGCCUACCAAGGCAUUUGACGGGUAGCUAGCCUUAGAGGCGGUUAGCCACACUGGGACUGAGACACUGCCCAGACUCCUACGGGAGGCUGCAGUCGAGAAUAUUU